CCUACGGGUGGCUGCAGUGGGGAAUAUUGGACAAUGGGCGAAAGCCUGAUCCAGCCAUGCCGCGUGUGUGAAGAAGGCCUUCGGGUUGUAAAGCACUUUCAGUGGGGAAGAAAGCCUUGGGGCUAAUACCCUCGAGGAAGGACAUCACCCACAGAAGAAGCACCGGCUAACUCCGUGCCAGCAGCCGCGGUAAUACGGAGGGUGCGAGCGUUAAUCGGAAUUACUGGGCGUAAAGCGCGCGUAGGCGGUCUGAUAAGCCGGUUGUGAAAGCCCCGGGCUCAACCUGGGAACGGCAUCCGGAACUGUCAGGCUAGAGUGCAGGAGAGGAGGGUAGAAUUCCCGGUGUAGCGGUGAAAUGCGUAGAGAUCGGGAGGAACACCAGUGGCGAAGGCGGCCUUCUGGACUGACACUGACGCUGAGGUGCGAAAGCGUGGGUAGCAAACAGGAUUAGAUACCCUAGUAGUC
This 465-nucleotide ribosomal RNA is filed under the name Vreelandella stevensii. RNAcentral describes it as "partial 16S ribosomal RNA". It matches the Rfam family "Bacterial small subunit ribosomal RNA", at positions 338 to 795 of the family's 1533-position model. Lineage: Bacteria; Pseudomonadati; Pseudomonadota; Gammaproteobacteria; Oceanospirillales; Halomonadaceae. The record is from RNAcentral.